AACGAACGCUGGCGGCAGGCCUAACACAUGCAAGUCGAACGCUGUAGCAAUACAGAGUGGCAGACGGGUGAGUAACGCGUGGGAACCUUCCCAAUGGUGCGGAAUAGCCCAGGGAAACUUGGGGUAAUACCGCAUAAGCCCUUAGGGGGAAAGAUUUGUCGCCAUUGGAUGGGCCAGCGUCGGAUUAGCUAGUUGGUGAGGUAAUGGCUCACCAAGGAAACGAUCCGUAGCUGGUUUGAGAGAAUGACCAGACACACUGGGACUGAGACACGGGCCAGACUCCUACGGGAGGCAGCAGUGGCGAAUCUUGGACAAUGCGCGAAAGCCUGAUCCAGCCAUGCCGCGUGAGUGACGAAGGACUUAGGGUUGUAAAGCUCUUUUGCCGGGGACGAUACUGACGGUACCCGGAGAAUAAGUCCCGGCUAACUUCGUGCCAGCCGCCGCAGUAA
Molecule: ribosomal RNA, 449 nt
Filed under: uncultured bacterium
Lineage: Bacteria
Description: partial 16S ribosomal RNA
Rfam family: Bacterial small subunit ribosomal RNA
Source: RNAcentral